ACUCCUACGGGAGGCAGCAGUGGGGAAUAUUGCACAAUGGGGGAAACCCUGAUGCAGCCAUGCCGCGUGUGUGAAGAAGGCCUUCGGUUGUAAAGCACUUUCAGUAGGGAGGAAGGUAGUGUAGUUAACACCUGCACUAUUUGUACGUUACCUACAGAAGAAGCACCGGCUAACUCCGUGCCAGCAGCCGCGGUAAUACGGAGGGUGCGAGCGUUAAUCGGAAUUACUGGGCGUAAAGCGCAUGCAGGCGGCCUGUUAAGUCAGAUGUGAAAGCCCGGGGCUUAACCUCGGAAUUGCAUUUGAAACUGGCAGGCUAGAGUCUUGUAGAGGGGUUAGAAUUUC
This 342-nucleotide ribosomal RNA is filed under the name uncultured bacterium. RNAcentral's name for it is "bacterial SSU rRNA". It matches the Rfam family "Bacterial small subunit ribosomal RNA", at positions 335 to 669 of the family's 1533-position model. The record is from RNAcentral.